UACGUAGGGGGCGAGCGUUGUCCGGAAUCAUUGGGCGUAAAGCGCGCGUAGGCGGCCCGGUAAGUCCGUUGUGAAAGUCAAAGGCUCAACCUUUGAACGCCGAUGGAUACUGCCGGGCUAGAGUCCGGAAGAGGCGAGUGGAAUUCCUGGUGUAGCGGUGAAAUGCGCAGAUAUCGGGAGGAACACCAAUGGCGAAGGCAGCUCGCUGGGACGGUACUGACGCUGAGGCGCGAAAGCGUGGGGAGCAAACAGG
Molecule: ribosomal RNA, 253 nt
Filed under: uncultured bacterium
Lineage: Bacteria
Description: partial 16S ribosomal RNA
Rfam family: Bacterial small subunit ribosomal RNA
Source: RNAcentral